Unclassified non-coding RNA from Chrysemys picta bellii (western painted turtle), 167 nucleotides. The record is from Ensembl. NCBI's taxonomy places the organism in Eukaryota, Metazoa, Chordata, Testudines, Emydidae.
GUUAUCAGCUUUAGGAAUGAAAUCAUCCACAGAGCAAGAAUAUAACCGGUAGUAGCAGUGCAAGGUUCUCUAAACUGCUCACCAGUGUGCAUCAACCUUGUUCUGGAAGGAUCUCUUCUAAGAAUGAGAGGGUAGUUCAGUCUUUGUCCUUUCAGUCUUAGGUCUAA